RNAcentral lists this long non-coding RNA (1355 nucleotides) under Paramuricea clavata. Lineage: Eukaryota; Metazoa; Cnidaria; Anthozoa; Malacalcyonacea; Plexauridae. The record is from RNAcentral.
CAAUGGUAUUUACCACUGACAAACCGCGAUCCUCUGCUUUUGACGGUGUCUUUCACCCCCCUGGAUUUUCGAUAAAAAAUGUUUUUGUUUCCAGCUAAAAAUAUUUUUCUCCUACUUUGCUUGUUUUACAAAGUCGAGGAAAAAAUGCCUUCCUUGUGGAUGCUGCAAUACGCUAUAAACGAAGAGUAGAGUAUUUUCUUCAGGUAAGAUUUUUUUAAAAACUUUUCAGAUGGCUAAAAAAAUUUGUGUGUAUGAAAUUUUGCUUUUGUUUCAAGCUCUGGCUUUUGUGUUUUUACUCUCGGUUUUUAUUGCCAGUUACAGUAGUUUUAAAUAUUUUGUGUCCUUCUAUAUACUAUUUAUUAAAACCCUUACACUUACAAUAAGCAUUGUAAGCAUUUAGUAAGCUCUGGAUUUUAAUAUUUUAUAUAAUAUUAAUAAAUAUGUUUCCUGUGACCAUCUUAACUUUAUAUUAUUAAACUGCUAGUCUUUGCCAGAUUUUGUAUUAAACAGCAGUUGCCUACUGUGCAAUACUGCAGUUAGUCAUGUAUAUGUGUGGUGUAGGAGGUGUGCACAACCAAUUUGUAUAUGGCACUUUUGACAGCAGCUUGAGUUGUAAUGGCCAUGGGGCAACUUUUUGCUGCAAUAAAUCACUAUUUUGUGCAUAUACCAUCUCUGCAAUACAAGCAAAUGUUUUGUUGAUACCCUCAACACAAAGACCAAGCAUUCAUGGGUAAUUCCACAAUACAUUCACACCUCCCAAAAAGAGGAAUACAAGUCAACACCUUUCUCCUUCAGUUGUUUAAUAUAUGUCCUCAAACAUUUUACUAUGAUAGAGGGGUUUGUCCUGCUUCCCUCUUGAGAUGACAGCAAUAUCCUCUGUAGUGAGGGGUCUGAUAUUCUGUCUUAAUAAUCCUCACAAUGGGUAAUUCCAGAAAAGAUCCAUACUCCCCCCACAGAGGAAAUUUCUGCCAUCCAGAGGGGGAAGGAAGAAAAAUUGUUUCUGAUAAUGGUAAAUGUAUUAGGAUAUCCUAAGGGGGUAGGGGGUAAUAACUUCCUAAUUCCUCUGUGGGGGUGGUAUGGAUGUUUUCUGGAAUGACCCAAUGAUAGACUAGCUAACUAUGACAAUAUAUUUAAACAUUACUCACUUUUCUUAUUUAGGUUGAAACUUUAAUGUGGACAAGAAUGAAACACAAGGUCUUUGGAGGUUCAAAUAGUAGGAGUAGUGGUGUACUGGCCAGGACCAGUAGUACCCCCUAGUAAGAGUACCCCUAGAAGUUUCAAGAUACUGAACAGCAGAGAGCAAAUUAGUCAUAGCCAGUGGGGCAACAAAGUUAUUAGAACAGUUUAGAUUUUAA